This is a non-coding RNA of Phascolarctos cinereus (koala), 3877 nucleotides long. The record is from RefSeq and is a predicted model, not a curated record. NCBI's taxonomy places the organism in Eukaryota, Metazoa, Chordata, Mammalia, Diprotodontia, Phascolarctidae.
CUCAAACAGUGCGGAGCGAGCUUGGGGUGCUCAGGCGGCGACGUGGGACAGGGCCGGGCAGGACCAUUCUGUAGCUGGACGGGCGGUCCACCAUGAGUCAAGUUCUGUUUCGGCAGCUGGUCCCGCUGCUGGUGAAGUGCAGGGACUGCGAGGAGAGAAGAGUAAAUGUUAGAGUGAGCAUUGAACUCCAAGCAGUUUCUAAUCCAGUACAUCGAAAGGAUUUAGUCAUUCAGUUGACUGAUGAUGCUGAUCCAUUUUUUCUGUAUAACCUUGUUAUAUCUGAGGAAGAUUUUCAGAGUUUGAAACUUCAGCAGGGCCUUCUGGUAGACUUUUCAGCUUUUCCACAAAAAUUUAUAGAUCUACUGCAGCAAUGUACCCAGGAACAAGGCAAAGAAAUUCCACGGUUUUUGCUACAGUUAGUUUCUACAGCAGCGAUAUUGGAUCACUCACCUGUAUUUUUAAAUGUGGUGGAGACAAAUCCCUUUAAGCAUCUUACACAUCUUUCUCUAAAACUUCUACCUGGAAAUGAUAUGGAAAUAAAGAAAUUUUUAGCAGGCUGUUUGAAAUGUAGCAAGGAAGAAAAAUUAUCAUUGGAGCAAACACUGGAGGAUGUUACCAGGCAGUUAAACUUUACACAACAGACGUUGGCAGAAAAGAUCCAGGAAUUAGAUAAGUUACGAAAUGAAUGGACAUCACACACAGCGGCACUGACAAACAAGCAUUCUCAAGAACUGACAAAUGAGAAGGAAAAAGCCCUCCAGGCACAGGUUCAAUCUCAGCAACAGCAUGAACAACAGAAAAAAGAACUAGAAAACAUACAUCAAAGAAAUGUUCACCAGCUUCAGAGCAGAUUGUCAGAAUUGGAGGCGACCAAUAAAGACUUAACAGAAAGGAAGUACAAAGGAGACUCCACCAUUAGAGAACUUAAAGCAAAACUCUCUGGUGCAGAAGAUGAGUGCCAGAGGGCUAAGCAAGAAGUCCUCUCUCUGAGAAGAGAGAAUUCUACACUUGAUGCUGAAUGUCACGAAAAAGAGAAGCACAUUAAUCAGCUUCAAACUAAAGUGGCUGUUUUGGAACAGGAAAUCAAGGAUAAAGAUCAGCUUGUUAUAAGAACAAAAGAAGCAUUUGACACAAUUCAGGAACAAAAGGUGGCCCUAGAAGAAAAUGGAGAGAAGAAUCAGGUACAGCUAGGAAAACUUGAAACCACAAUAAAAUCAUUAUCUGCUGAACUUCUUAAGGCAAAUGAAAUUAUCAAGAAAUUACAAGGUGAUAUGAAAACUUUAAUGAGCAAAUUAAAACUGAAGAAUACAGUUACAAUUCAGCAAGAAAAACUACUGGCUGAAAAGGAAGAAAAAUUGAAAAAAGAACAAAAGGAGGUACAAGAUAUUGGACAAGCUCUCCGGAAUAAAGAGCAAGAGGUAAGCAAAUUGCAAGAACAGUUAGAAGUUACAGUACAAAAACUUGAAGAGAGCAAACAGCUUCUGAAGAAUAAUGAAAAAUUAAUCACGUGGCUAAAUAAAGAACUGAAUGAAAAUCAGCUAGUAAGAAAGCAAGACCUAUUGGGAUCCUCCACAACUCCAGCUGCUCAGCCUGGCAACACCACCAUCAGAAGUGGAAUUUCUCCUAAUCAGAACAUGCUUGAUAACAGACUACCUCUUCCAAACUGUGGAAUUGGCUAUCCUGUUUCUUCUGCAUUUACUUAUCACAGUACCUUCCCUCAUCCUGUAGCUUCGAAAAGCACUGCUCAUCCAGUUUCUGGACCAAAGGUUCAGUUUAACUUGCAGUUUGCAAAAACAAAUACUUCAGGAGAUAUUCCUUCAGGAGGAUCUAUUAAUAUGCCUCACUCAACUGAUAAAGAGAAUGGUGAAAAUUUGGGCCUGGAAUCGAAAUAUUUGAAGAAAAGGGAAGAUAGUAUUCCAUUACGAGGGCUUAGUCAAAACCUCUUUAGUAAUCCAGAACAUCAGAAAGAUGGCUCUUUAACAACAGUACAAGCUUCAGCAAAACCUGCAGUGCUCCCUCCUUCUGUAGCUUCGGCAUAUUUUCCUGGACAGUGACCAGACCUGCAGCUUUGCUUUGUGAAGUAUUGAGAGAAUGGCAGUGGUUCUGGUUCUGGUCUUAACAUAGCAACAUAAAUGCAGCAAGAUAACUCUGCCUUUGACUUCAGUGAUUGCUGACGAUUUAGUGUUUUAAUCCCACAAAGAGAUGCUGCCUUGGCUGUCUGUGGAAAAUAUCACGGAAGAACUGAAUUUGGACUUUGACCUUGGUCUGUAUUUCCCAGAGAGGCCAUGUCUGCUGAGGAGCAACCCUUCCAGCAUAGAUGCCUCAUCCAGAGAAGAAUUUCAAGAGGACUUAACAAAGAGAAAAUGGACACCAAGGCCCUACAGUUUCUGGGUCUCCUGCACCUGACAUCAUGAACUCUGAAACCAUCACUUCAGCUGUCCUCUCAUCCUGGAACUUCCCUUAAGUGCCUGAGGCCUCCUUUACUACUGGAACAUCUAACUCCCUCUGUCAACUUUCUCACUCUCGAAUGUCCUUCCCUCCAGGACAUUCUCCCUUCUCCCACCAGUGAGUCCCUCAUGAGGCCUCCAUUUUGUGAAGGAGCCCAGGUGAGUCAGCCUUCAUUCCUUGCAUGGCUCUGCUCCUGGACUUGCAGAUGUCAAAACCAUUCCUCCUCAGAGAACAGAGAGCCGGGUCUAGAGUCAGUAAGACCCGAGUUUAAAUCCAGUCUCAGAUAUUUUCCUAACUGUGUGACCCUGAACAAGUUGCCAAACCUCUGUCUGUCUGAGUUUUCACAACUGUAAAAUAGGGUAAUAACAGCACCUACCUCCCAGAGUUGUUCUAAGGAUCAAAUGAGAUAUUUGUGAAGCAGUAGACACUAUAUAAAUGCUCAUUCACUUCCCUUUUCCUUCCUCCUCCAUCAUGUACCUUUAGCCAUUCAGCUCCCAUCCCCAAUCCCUUAUUGCUCCCUUUUGACUGUAGUCUUCCUCCAUUAAAAUGUAAGCUCCUUGAGGGUAGGAACUGUCUUUUCCAUUGUAUUUGUAUCCCUGGCAUAAAUGUUUGUUUCCUUCUUUCUAACAGAAUUCCACUACAGGAUUUCCUCAGCUAUGAAUAACAAUUGAAAUUUAUCUAUACAGCACUUUACGGUUUGCAAAAUGCUUUGCAUAUUUUCUCUUCUGAAUCUCACAACCCUGUGAAGUAAAAUAUUGCAGAUUAUUACUGUGGUAAAGUAGGGAUCCACUUUGUAAAUGAGGCUGAGAGAGGUUAGAUCACUUCCCCAUUGUCACAAAGUAGGUGUCUGGCAAGAUCUGUGGGAUGUAGUUUGAAGUCUCUAGGCAACCAAGUUGUUACCACUGUGCUAAAUCCUCUCACUUUCUUCUUCCUGUUCUAAUAUAGAAUCAAACAUCCUUUUCAAACUUUUAUUCUCCCCUACCAAACAGUCUCAUCUCAAUGUAUUCUGAACUAUUCUUACCAGGUUUGGUUAAAUUGGUUUAUGCCCAGCCAUCAAAAAGAGCAAAGCAUGAAAUUGUCUCUCCAAAAGUUAUGAGCAGAGACAAUGAUGAUCCUCAGUUAGUAGAAACUAUACUGUUUCAUAAAAACAAAAAAGCUAGAACACAUCGUGUAUAUUGAUCUUUACUUUGUAAAUGCAGAAUCAUGUUUUGAUAACCAGUCUUCGUUUUGUCAAUCAGAAAUGGAGCUGAGGAAUAAUUUUCCAUCAAGAGGCCUGUAUACUUACUCAGCUUAUUUUUUCCCUUAUAAGUAGGCCAGCAGAUAUCCUUUCUCUAUAUUGAAAAAGUCUCCAAUAAUAAAGCAUACUAAAACAGCAGAUAAAAAGCUUUUAUACUUUUUUAACAACCUCACCACUGGCCCCCGUCAUAUU